GUCUUUGGAUGAGUUGUGGGUAGGGGUGAAAGGCCAAUCAAACUGAGAGAUAGCUCGUACUCCCCGAAAUGCUUUUAGGAGCAGCGUGGAAGUUAGUUUAUCAGAGGUAGAGCUACCGAUUGGACUAGGGGGAGUCAAAUCCUACCAAAUCCAGACGAACUCCGAAUGCUGAUAAAUAUAUUCCGCAGUGAGGGCUUGGGUGCUAAGGUCCGAGUCCGAGAGGGAAAGAACCCAGACCUACAGCUAAGGUCCCUAAAUUUGUACUAAGUUGAACUAAGGAGGUUCAGCUGCUUAGACAGCCAGGAUGUUGGCUUGGAAGCAGCCAUUCAUUUAAAGAGUGCGUAACAGCUCACUGGUCGAGCGGCAGAGCAUCGAUAAUAAUCGGGCAUCAAGUACAAUACCGAAGCUUAGGAUCAUUUAUGAUGGUAGGGGAGCAUUCUCUAGACGACGAAGGUGUGACGCGAGUCAUGCUGGAGAGUAGAGAAGAGCAAAUGUAGGCAUAAGUAACGAUAAGGCAGGCGAGAAACCUGCCCACCGAUAGACUAAGGAUUCCCCGGCAAUGCUAAUCAGCCGGGGGUUAGUCGGGACCUAAGGCGAACCCGAAAGGGGUAGUCGAUGGACAACUGGUUAAUAUUCCAGUACCACCUUUAUUUUCGAUGGGGUGACGGAGUAGUGAAAGCACCGCGUACUGACGGAAUAGUACGUUGAAGGGUGUAGGUAUAAGGACUGUAGGUAAAUCCGCAGAUCUUGCUGAACCUGAUAGUACCACAAAUCUUCGGAUGCGUGGAUAGUGUGCCUAAGCAGACUUCCAAGAAAAACCUCUAAGGCUAGGAUAAAGGUGCCCGUACCGUAAACCGACACAGGUAGUCAAGGAGAGAAUCCUGAGGUGCUCGAGUGAUUCAUGGUUAAGGAACUAGGCAAAAUAGCCCUGUAACUUCGGGAGAAGGGGCUCCUACUUCGGUAGGACGCAGUGAAAAGACCCAGGCGACUGUUUAUCAAAAACACAUGGCUGUGCGAACUUGAAAGAGGAUGUAUACGGCCUGACACCUGCCCGGUGCUGGAAGGUUAAGGGGGGAUGUUAUCUUCGGAGAAGCAUUGAACUGAAGCCCCAGUAAACGGCGGCCGUAACUAUAACGGUCCUAAGGUAGCGAAAUUCCUUGUCGGGUAAGUUCCGACCUGCACGAAUGGUGCAACGAUCUGGGUACUGUCUCAACCAUGAGCUCGGUGAAAUUGUAGUUCCGGUGAAGAUGCCGGAUACCCGCAACGGGACGGAAAGACCCCGUGAACCUUUACUAUAGCUUCACAUUGGUAUUGGGUAAAUGAUGUGUAGGAUAGCUGGGAGACUCUGAAGCUGCGUCGUCAGGCGUGGUGGAGUCGUUGGUGAAAUACCAGCCUUUAUUUAUCUGAUGCCUAACCCCGAAAGGGAGACAGUGUGUGGUGGGUAGUUUGACUGGGGUGGUCGCCUCCAAAAGAGUAACGGAGGCUUUCAAAGGUACCCUCAGCACGCUUGGUAACCGUGCGCAGAGUGCAAUAGCAUAAGGGUGCUUGACUGUGAGGCCUACAAGCCGAGCAGGUAGGAAACUAGGAUAUAGUGAUCCGGCGGUUCUGUAUGGAAGGGCCGUCGCUCAAAGGAUAAAAGGUACUCCGGGGAUAACAGGCUGAUCUCCCCCAAGAGCUCAUAUCGACGGGGGGGUUUGGCACCUCGAUGUCGGCUCGUCACAUCCUGGGGCUGGAGAAGGUCCCAAGGGUUGGGCUGUUCGCCCAUUAAAGUGGCACGCGAGCUGGGUUCAGAACGUCGUGAGACAGUUCGGUCCCUAUCUGUUGUGGGCGUAAGAAAUUUGAGUAGAUCUGACUUUAGUACGAGAGGACCGAGUUGGACUAACCGCUGGUGUACCAGUUGUUCCGCCAGGAGCACUGCUGGGUAGCUACGUUGGGAAGGGAUAAGCACUGAAAGCAUCUAAGUGCGAAACCCACUACAAGAUGAGAUUUCUUUUAAGAGAUGUUCUAGAUUAGGACGUAGAUAGGCUGCAGGUGUAAAGGCAGUAAUGUCAAAGCUGAGCAGUACUAAUUACUCGUAAACUUUUUUGAA
RNAcentral lists this ribosomal RNA (2089 nucleotides) under cf. Phormidesmis sp. LEGE 11477. RNAcentral's name for it is "Bacterial large subunit ribosomal RNA". It matches the Rfam family "Bacterial large subunit ribosomal RNA", at positions 796 to 2925 of the family's 2925-position model. The record is from Rfam by way of RNAcentral. Lineage: Bacteria; Bacillati; Cyanobacteriota; Cyanophyceae; Leptolyngbyales; Leptolyngbyaceae.